RNAcentral lists this long non-coding RNA (254 nucleotides) under Elaeis guineensis (African oil palm). Its description in RNAcentral is "long non-coding RNA (EGUI_LNC045621)". The record is from RNAcentral. Lineage: Eukaryota; Viridiplantae; Streptophyta; Magnoliopsida; Arecales; Arecaceae.
GAUCAGAUUGCCAGGGUACAUUUGAAAAAAUUUUUAUUCUAAAAUUUUAUAAUUUUUAUAAAUUAUCUUGUAGGCAGUGGAAUAAAGAUCAAAAUCCUCAGGGGGCUACUUGACUCUGAUGCCUAACAAGGUCUAAAAAUAUAGAUCUUCUACUUUGCACGCACACUAAGCCCCGCAGGAAGGAAGGAUGAUCUCUUUGGGCAUUGCAACUUUUGAAGGGCAGCAAGGGAAGGGAGAAGAUCUGAUCACGUGCC